GCCCCGCUUUUCCACUCUGGCUCGUCCUUUCGCUCCACGCCUGGGCCCGGCCUUGAGCCCUGCCUGCCCGCCCAAGCCUAAACCCCUCCUCCAUCGCCUAGUCCGAACCACCCUACUGGACCUGAGUCCGCCUCCCGGGGGUGGAGCUGCGCCAGGUGCGCGUCCGGGGCGUGGCGAACGUCACGGAUCGCCAGGUGCGGCUUCCGUGUCAAGAUGGCCGCCGCCUGCCUCCUUGGCGUCAGGCUCCCGCCCCGCUGCCUUCUCGCCGGAGCCCGGCUGCUGCGCAUCGUCCUCUGCUUACUGUGCUGGGCCCCGGAGGCUGUGCGCGCCGUCCCCGAGCUCGGGCUCUGGGCAGCGACUGUGAACGACAGAUCAGGACCUUUGAUAUUUAGGAAAACUAUGUUUAAUUCUACUGAGAUCAAGUUUUCUGUUAAGUCAUUCAGUUGUUCUGGGCCUGUGAAGUUUACCAUAGAGUGGUAUUUAAAACAUCAUACCUGUCAAAAUGAAUACUCUAGGCUGGAAGAGGAGCUGUCACAAAACCGUGAACUUAGUGUUGCUGAAGACCUUUGUGACCAUUAUUUCAAGAACACUGAGUGUUGGACAACAAAAAACGAAAACUUAGAUUGCAGCACCGGUUUACAGCUGUUUCCUCCGCUGAAUAGUAAGGAACUAAUUACAGAUACCAGAAAUGUUUCAAACCAGGAAGGAUCAAUGGAUGUUGUAGCCAGAACACAGAGAGAUGGGUUCCAUAUCUUUAUUGUUUCUAUUAAAACAGAAAAAACAGAUGCAAGGUGGAAUUUGAAUGUUUCUCUUUCUAUGGUGGGGCCUCAUGGAUAUAUUUCUGCAUCAGAUUGGCCUCUAAUGAUUUUUUACAUGGUGAUGUGUAUCGUCUAUAUCUUAUAUGCCAUACUGUGGCUGAUGUGGUCUGCCUGUUACUGGAAAGAUAUAUUAAGAAUCCAGUUCUGGAUUGCAGCUGUUAUUUUCCUGGGAAUGCUUGAAAAAGCAGUUUUCUAUAGUGAAUAUCAAAACAUCAAUAAUACUGGGCUAUCAACCCGAGGUUUAUUGAUAUUCGCGGAGCUGAUAUCUGCAAUUAAGAGAACCUUGGCCCGCCUGCUUGUGAUCAUCGUGAGCUUGGGUUAUGGCAUCGUGAAGCCUCGUUUAGGAACAGUCAUGCACCGGGUGAUUGGACUGGGGGUGCUUUACUUCCUCUUUGCAGCUGUUGAAGGCGUGAUGAGAGUCAUUGGGGGUUCUAACCACUUAGCUGUUCUUUUUGGUGACAUUAUUUUAGCUGUCAUUGACUCCAUUUUUGUGUGGUUCAUUUUUAUAAGUUUGGCACAAACUAUGAAGACUCUAAGGCUAAGAAAGAACACAGUGAAAUUUUCGUUAUACAGGCACUUUACAAAUACUCUGAUCUUUGCUGUAGUGGCUUCUGUAGUGUUUAUGGUAUGGACAACUAAGACAUUUAGGAUUGCAAAAUGUCAAUCAGAUUGGAUGGAACGCUGGGUUGAUGAUGCAUUUUGGAGCUUCCUUUUUUCGCUUAUUCUUAUUGUGAUCAUGUUUUUAUGGAGACCAUCAGCAAAUAAUCAGAGGUAUGCCUUCAUGCCCUUAAUAGAUGAUUCUGAUGAUGAAAUUGAAGAAUUCAUGGUAACGUCUGAAAAUUUAACUGAAGGUAUAAAAUUAAGAGCUUCAAAAACAGUUUCCAAUGGAACAGCUAAACCUGGUACUUCUGAUAAUUUUGAUGAAGAUUUGAAGUGGGUAGAAGAGAAUAUCCCCUCUUCAUUCACAGAUGUUGUUAUUCCAAAAAUCUACCUUGGCUUCUUUCUCACAUCUAGUUAGUCUCCCAGGUCUCUUUCUUCUGCCUUCGCCAUGGACUGCGCUAGCUCUUCCAGUAUUAGUGGAUUCAGAUGAGGAAAUCAUGACCAGAUCUGAAAUGGCAGAAAAAAUGUUCUCUUCAGAGAAGAUAAUGUGAUUUGAACCCAUAUAAAUGAGACCUAGUUCAUGGUAAAGGGCCUCCUCAAGACUAAGACUAAGAGAGCUUUGUUCUGAUAGAGUGCCACAAGUUUUUAUUGCAUUAUCUUGGAAACCUAUGCAUGAAAAUUAAGAAUUCAGGUGGUGGGAAGGUUCUGCAUCCCUUUUUAAACUGCUCUUGAGUGUCAGUUUAAUGUUCAUUAUGUUGCCUGGACAUGGAAAUAACCUAAGAAAAGUAGUAAGGUAAACAUGUAUGUCCAAAUGUCCUUAGCAUACAGGUGGCAGGCAUGUGGAUUUGGAAUGUGGCAUGUGGAUUUCUUUUCUCUGGGAAAUAUAACAGUUUCAGAUUGAAAAAUAGUUUUUACAUCAGCACUCCUACUGUUCUCCCACUGACCUUUGAGAGAUGAUAGGAUUUUCUAACGUGUGGUAAAGCAGCCUCACCCCUCCUGUUUAUAGCUCUAGAUGCAAUAAUUUUCUUUGACUUUUAAACUGAAGUGAUAAGGUAUUAAGUAAAACUCAGUUAACCUUUGAACGUAAGCAUGUUUAUAUGAUUGGUUUUGGUGUGUGUAUAUGUAUGUGUAUGUUUACUUGUCUGCACAAAGUCCUUGUUUGUAAAUAUGACCAUGCGUAUCAAAUCACAGGGUUGGGUUUUCUGGUCUGAACUCAGGGGAACACAAGUACACGGAGGGAGAAGUCUUAAGCGUCACUUCCAAAGACUUGCUCUGCUGUGACCCUCUCACUCGGGUGGUGUCUGGGUCUGUGUGGGCAAGUGGUGGGCGCCUGGCCACAUGGCACCCAGGGUGCUUCCUCCCCUGCGGGCUGGGCAGUUCAUUGCCAGUGAGCCUUACAGAAACUACAUUACCUUUUAUGUGGUCUUGGCAUAUCUGGUUUCAUAAUAAAACAUUCUUAAUUGCACAAUACAUCACUAUUAAUUUUGUAAUUAUUUAACCUUCAUAUUUUAUACAUUAUUUUGUUACAUUAUAUGGUAAUGUGCCAUUUGAAAUGUUUGUUUUAAUUUCUUUUCUAAAAAUGCAGAAUUUCCUAAACUUGAAAGGCAAUUGAAUGUACUAUGAUGGAAAUGUGAACAUUUUGCUGCUUUUGUGACCAGAGAAACAGGCUAGUGGACAUUUAGAGUAAGAGUUAGAGUCUUGUAUCUUGUAUGCCAUUCUUUGAAGGAGUUCUAGCCUUGUAAAUUGAGAAUGACUUAAGAGAAUUUUGACUGAAUUAAAUUCUUAACCAGUACCAACACUUAAAUAUAACCUUUAAUAUUUUUCAUUAUGAGUUCACAAAACAACAUUUUUCUUUUGAAUUUAUUUCUCAUUUACUCAUUUCAUAGGAGUAAGUAAAAAAGAUUUAUUUCUAGUAGUAAUAUCUCUUGAAAGAUAGUUUCAAAUUUAUUUUCCUCAGUGAACAUUUACAGUGUUGUAUAGAAAAUGGCAUGGUUUUCAAGAUGCCAUUGCAUUUAGGGCAUCCUUUUUGGGAAAAGAGUGUCUCCUUUAACAGUGUGGGUUCUGUUCCCUAUUUCACUUUCUGCCACAGCAGUGGCCCCCAGCUGCUGCACUGCCCAGCACCUCUGUCCGCUCUUGUUUUGGUGUAUGGUACCCUCAGCCCAGCUGUUCCAGAGUUGGAGGUGGCCACUGCCUUCCUGUUCCUAACAUUUUCAGCAGGUACCUCUCCCCUGAUUCUGAAGCAGAUUGACCCCCAAUUCAUCAUAUUCUAGUUGAAUUUUGAAAUGUGGAAUCUUGGGCUUCCAGCUGGUAGGAGCUGCAAACUUAGUGGAGUGAGGGGGGGAGUGGAUGGUAAGUGUGAUAACAGAGGAACUGCCUCUGCCAUAUUAGUCAUGUUUGUAAAGACGCUUCUUUCUGCAGCUGGAGAGGUAAAUGCCUCCUAUAUCGCUCAACUGUAGGCUGAGAUGCAUACUUCUCUUAUCUUCCAGGAAAGCAGGAUUCCCUCCUGAGAGCCUUGUCAGAAACGGUUUUCAAAGCGCAUAUAUUGUGUCACUUGCAGUGACAGUGGCACUGUCUCUUGAUGUCUCAUGACCUGAGUUGAGUAUUCCUGUGGAGGGGCGCCUAGCUCCUUCAUCUGAACGGAAGAGGGUACCUGGGAGCGGGAGCGGGAGCUCAUACGAAGGGUGGGGGAAAGUUAAUCCCGGGCCACUGUGCAGUUUCGCCGUGCUUCCGCACAGAGUCCCGGAAACGGUACAUCAGAGCUUCUGAGGCUGUCAGGUCAUUGAUGCUUAGGAUACCAUGAUGAUGGGUCUCCGUAUGAAUGAAGAAAUCUGAGGAUAGGAGUCCAGUUUUGUGUGUUUCUAGGCAAAGUGCUUAAGUGUUCUUAUUUAUGCAGUUCAUGAUUUAUAUGAUGUGUGAAGCUUGCUUAAUGGAAUUUUUACAAGUUGGGUUAGAUUAGUAUUUAAAUACCUCGUUUAAAGGAUAGUUUAUUUCAUAAAUAGGGGAAAUAGAUAAAUAUGUGAAUCUUUUUAAGCCGUAGAGAUGAUGUUCCCAUACUUUCCCUGGAAAGAAAAUAAUAUUUAAUAUCUUACAUAUCCUGUAGAGAAUACCAACUAUUCCUCUGUAAUACAGUACAUUGUUUGCACUACUAUAAUGUCAAGACUGAAAGUAUAAAACUGUACAUAAAUGUACAUACAUGGUGGAAUUUUAUAUCCUUUUUAAAAAGGUUUGAGUCUGUUGCCUUAGGCUAUCCUGACUAGUUUAAAAUUGAGAGAUGUUACGCUAGAUUUAUAAAUCACUAGUUUUGGUACUUGUGUCUUUGUAUGAUCAACAGCAUGCAUUAAGCAAUACAAGCACUGACCACCAAGCCUUAUGCUUACAAGGGAAGUUUAACAUUGGUUAAAGUUCUAAACAUAAUAAAUGUGUGUAAGUGACAAAACUAGAUUUUUAAGGAAAUGUACAUUAUAAUAUAGGAGUUCAGUACUACUUUGAGAAGCCUCUUUAGAACCAGGAAAACCUUCAUUUGUUCAGGGAGAGAGUUUAGAGGCUUAAGAAGUUUUAUUUUUAUAUUGGAAGAAGUUAAAUUAUUGUGUAAUUUGGAAGAAGUUGCUUUACACAUAGAACAAAACUGUCAAAAGAUUUUUGUUUGAAAAAAAAUUGAUGUAUUUUUGUGCCUUAAUAUUUGUUCUGACUUUAAAUAAAAUGCUUUCUGAAAUUUG
This is an RNA transcript of Manis pentadactyla (Chinese pangolin), 5134 nucleotides long. It is a transcript of the gene named transmembrane protein 87B, with no coding region annotated. The transcript has 20 exons. The record is from RefSeq and is a predicted model, not a curated record. NCBI's taxonomy places the organism in Eukaryota, Metazoa, Chordata, Mammalia, Pholidota, Manidae.